UGGGGAAUAUUGGACAAUGGGGGAAACCCUGAUCCAGCAAUGCCGCGUGGAUGAUGAAGGCCUUCGGGUUGUAAAGUCCUUUUGGCGGGGACGAUGAUGACGGUACCCGCCGAAUAAGCUCCGGCUAACUUCGUGCCAGCAGCCGCGGUAAUACGAAGGGAGCUAGCGUUGUUCGGAAUUACUGGGCGUAAAGGGCGCGUAGGCGGCUUCGAUAGUUGGGCGUGAAAUGCCUGGGCUUAACCCAGGAAUUGCGCUCAAUACUUCGAGGCUUGAGUGUGGGAGAGGAUAGUGGAAUUCCCAGUGUAGAGGUGAAAUUCGUAGAUAUUGGGAAGAACACCAGCGGCGAAGGCGGCUAUCUGGACCACAACUGACGCUGAGGCGCGAAAGCGUGGGGAGCAAACAGGAUUAGAUACCCCCGUAGUCC
Molecule: ribosomal RNA, 424 nt
Filed under: uncultured bacterium
Lineage: Bacteria
Description: bacterial SSU rRNA
Rfam family: Bacterial small subunit ribosomal RNA
Source: RNAcentral